AUUGAACACUGGCGGCAUGCCUAACACAUGCAAGUCGAACGGCAGCACAGUAAAGAUUUCGGUUUUUAUGGGUGGCGAGUGGCGGACGGGUGAGUAAUGCGUAGGAAUCUGUCCUGGAGAGUAGGAUAACCCGAGGAGACUCGGGCUAAUACUGCAUGAUAUCGAGAGAUCAAAGGCAGGGGACCCUUCGGGGCCUUGCGCUCUAGGAUGAGCCUACGUCGGAUUAGCUAGUUGGUGGGGUAAAGGCCUACCAAGGCGACGAUCCGUAGCUGGUCUGAGAGGAUGACCAGCCACACUGGGACUGAGACACGGCCCAGACUCCUACGGGAGGCAGCAGUGGGGAAUCUGGGACAAUGGGGGAAACCCUGAUCCAGCGAUGCCGCGUGUGUGAAGAAGGCCUUCGGGUUGUAAAGCACUUUAGUUGGGGAAGAAAAGUAAUGAGUGAAUAACUGAUUGCUCUGACGGUACCCAAAGAAUAAGCACCGGCUAACUCUGUGCCAGCCGCCGCGGUAA
This 513-nucleotide ribosomal RNA is filed under the name uncultured bacterium. RNAcentral describes it as "partial 16S ribosomal RNA". It matches the Rfam family "Bacterial small subunit ribosomal RNA", at positions 30 to 523 of the family's 1533-position model. The record is from RNAcentral.